AUUGAACGCUGGCGGCAUGCCUUACACAUGCAAGUCGAACGGCAGCACGGGUGCUUGCACCUGGUGGCGAGUGGCGAACGGGUGAGUAAUACAUCGGAACAUGUCCUGUAGUGGGGGAUAGCCCGGCGAAAGCCGGAUUAAUACCGCAUACGAUCCACGGAUGAAAGCGGGGGACCUUCGGGCCUCGCGCUAUAGGGUUGGCCGAUGGCUGAUUAGCUAGUUGGUGGGGUAAAGGCCUACCAAGGCGACGAUCAGUAGCUGGUCUGAGAGGACGACCAGCCACACUGGGACUGAGACACGGCCCAGACUCCUACGGGAGGCAGCAGUGGGGAAUUUUGGACAAUGGGCGAAAGCCUGAUCCAGCAAUGCCGCGUGUGUGAAGAAGGCCUUCGGGUUGUAAAGCACUUUUGUCCGGAAAGAAAUCCUUGGCCCUAAUACAGUCGGGGGAUGACGGUACCGGAAGAAUAAGCACCGGCUAACUACGUG
RNAcentral lists this ribosomal RNA (486 nucleotides) under uncultured bacterium. RNAcentral describes it as "partial 16S ribosomal RNA". It matches the Rfam family "Bacterial small subunit ribosomal RNA", at positions 30 to 507 of the family's 1533-position model. The record is from RNAcentral.